Molecule: RNA transcript, 9391 nt
Organism: Culex pipiens pallens (northern house mosquito)
Lineage: Eukaryota; Metazoa; Arthropoda; Insecta; Diptera; Culicidae
Gene name: protein translocase subunit SecA 2-like
Exons: 3
Source: RefSeq, a predicted model, not a curated record
AAAUUAGCUUUCAAGAGUUUGUUGAUUUUGAGUCAGCGCAUUGUGCAACGCAAGUCUAUCAUAAAAAUCAAGAGUCGAUUAGUUCUGGUUUCACUUCCGAGUGUGGCGGUUAAAGUAAUUGUGAAUUUGUUGAAAUAGUUUGCGGAUUUCAAUAAAAAUGGCUUCGUUUGAUACAACCUCAUCAAAAACCGGUAAAAAGCAUAAAAACAGAUACGUACGUGGUAGAGGAUCCUUACCCUCGAAGAAGAAGAAAAAGAAGAACAUUUUUUCUUCUGGAUCCUCCCGCUCAGAAACUUUGGUUUCGACCCUGGAUGAAAAUACCGAAAAAAUACAAAACCGUGAAUUUGAGCCCAAUUCUAUGCUACACAACGAGGAAAUCGUAUCAAAUCAAUAUAUUUCCUCAAGGGAAAUGCCAGCUGAAAGUCAUGUUUCUGUUUGCGAUGCACACACUUCAAACUUCAACGAACAAAGUGUUCCACCCGUUCAAGCAACUUUUGCGCAAUUAGGUAAAUUCUUCAGCCACAAUCGUAGGCAGUACAUUAAGAAAAGAGUUCAAACCAAAAAGAAAAUCGACCAGUUGAACUUGUCUGCUCGGUUUACAUUUGUCAACAUGGAGAUCAAACUACACAACGAAGGCUGUAUUAUGACAACGGACAACAAUUUCAUUGCCAUAGUGAAACUAGAACAUCCCGAACAACUUGACGAGUGCAGCGAUUUUGAACAAGCAAAAAAAGUGCUCAUCAACCAACUGAGAAUCACGAAAAUCAUCCGAGAUGAUUUGAUGGAGCUUCGGAACAACUUACGGACAAGGAUAGUUCCAGCCAUUGCAAAUUCCAUACGAAAUUCUGCAUUCAAUCAAACACAUGCCAACAAUUACAUACAACUAGUAAAGAUAACAAAUAUGUUGAAAAAUAGUAGAAAGCUAAACUAUCGCUCUUUAUGUAGAGAAAUUUGUAUGAAUAAGACGAUUUCCGACAACAUGAAAACAUUUAGCAAAGAACUUUUACAGCUGGAAGAGACAACAAUUAAACGAGAAAAGUGGUUCACCAAUUUCGGGAUUCGAAUAGAAGACAAAGCAUCAGAUUUAAGUAAAAUAAUUGACGAAUUGUUACCACAAAGCUUUGAGCGUUUCCGAAACACAAUGGUGGAAAGUGCCCCAGAAUGUUUGCAAAACUUCUUAAGAAGCGCAUGUGAAAAACGCAUUGCACUAAUCAGCGGUGAAGAUAUAAAGCUAUUCAUGAAUAUGUGUACUUUUUUGAAUAAGGACAUUUUUGAAAAACCUUUGAAGGAUUUGACUAUUUGUUGGAUAAAUUUGGUGAAUUCGAUAAAGAUUAACGAAACUAAAGAAGUUGUUCGAUUCACGCAACCAAUUUAUUUUUUCUUAUGUAAAAGCUUAGAAGAAGUUAUCAUUGAAAUAUCUAACAAGACUGAUAUUGAGAAAAGUAAACUGCUAAUAAGUGACAACAAUGGUUGGUAUGCUAACAAAGCUAUCACUUGGAAACAAGACAACUCUUUGAGUAGAUGCCUAGAACAUGAAUACAAUUUCAUUUUCAAGCUGCUCAAACAUUUUGAAUUGACAAACCGCGCAAUUCGCCCAUUCAACUACAGCGUAGUCCUGCUAAAUAGACAAAAAACAUCAGCGUAUGGAAACUUUAUUGAGAGCGCCAAGAGAAUGUUCUUCAACAAGUCCAAGAAUCAUCUUGAGGUCUCCGAUGAUGUUUACAUCUGGUAUUGUAUGCUGGACGAAGUUUUAUCAAAUGUAUUGCCCUUUGCGUCAUUAAAACACGGAGGCGAGCUUGACCUGUUUAGAAACAUUUUGCAAAACUAUACAAAACUUGUUCGAGAAGCAGGCCAUGAUCAGCUGGAAACGGUUCGCGUGAUUAGCCAUUCUUUAGGACGAUUCAUCGUCCAAGCAAUUCAGCUUUUAAAACAAGAUGGCAACUCAGACAUUGAGCAACGAGUGCUCCGCGGCCAACUAGAUGUCAACAGCCGGGUUGGGUUUAAAUCUUCAAAUCACUUCCGAGAUUUUAUUAACGUUUUCAGUGACUAUUGGAGGUGUAGGAAUGAGGUUAUAGCUCUGCUGCCGUCAAAGAUGAAUUUGCCUGAAAUGGAUAUAAUUUGUAACAAAUUGGUGGAAAUAAUAGCAGUAGCUCUUGGGAAGUGUGUUUAAUGACUUUAUUAUUGAUUCGGGAGAGGUUCAAUUUGAUUGGUUCAUAAAAAAAGAAACUGUUCAAAAGAAUAACGUUGACUCGUCCGUUUUAAGCAUGAUCGAUAAUAAGUGGAAAAACUCGGACAAUGCAACUUAUCGUGUAAUCAAAAUUGAAGAAUUUCUCAAUUUUUUCGAUUCUCCGCCAAACCACUACGUUAUUGAUAUCAUUGACAAAUUGCUUUCUACUAUAAUGAUUCAGAUGAAUAGAAAAGAUUGGGGCCCAAAUCAAGAUCUCUCAGAAACAGACCAAGUGGCAACAACCAGUAGUCUAAUCUCUGCCAUAAGAAGCACAUUGAUUUACCUUGAUGAACAACCCGACUACGUUUCAUUUGAUCGUUUCUUAGAAGAAAGAGUUAAUCCAUUCGUAAGCGUGGUGGAAAAUAGUACAAAUUACAGUGAGUUUUUCAGUCGUAUCAGUUUGAUCAAAGAAUCUUUUUGGUACAUUCGAAAGCAAAAUGAGAUGAGUAUCGAUUAUGCGUUGGAAAUGUUCGACAAUCUGAAUGAAAAUGUUGAUAAAAACCUUUUGCAAAAAUCUUACGAUAUAUAUUGUGAUCGUUUCGACAAAAUUAUGAAGAUAACAAUGGGAAAGCAACACACCGAAAAAAUUUCAUUCAUUAUUCAAAAAAAUCUAAAAUCUGUACAGCAAAUUCACUUUAAGCAUUGGAGUCAACGGUUUAAACAACAUACUUUGCCAAUUAUUUUGGCAGAGCUUGCUGCCAUUUGGUCUAUCCAGGUGUCUAAAGAUGUGUCCAGUACAGUAGGCUUCUUUAAGCCCCACUGUAUUCAAGUGCUGUGUGUACUGAGAAUGUUAAGUGCCGAUCAGAUUAAAGAAGGAGUAGAAAAACAUUUUGCACAAGUUUUGACGGGACAAGGCAAAUCACUUGUUUUAGCACUAACAGCAACAAUUCUAGCUCUUACCGGUCAUAAAGUUGACUUGGUAUGUUACAAUACAUAUUUAGUCCAGAAAGAUGAGACGGAAUUUGAUCAUUUUUUCAAAGCUUUAAAAGUGAAUGAAAAUAUUGAAUACAAAACAUUUGACAGUAUGGCAAAUGCAUUGAUAACAUCAGACAUCAAUGGCGAGCGCGUUGGCCUUAGAGAUUUGGUCAAUAAUAUGAUAUUAGAUAAACCACAAUCCCCUUUUAUGACAAAAGAUAAUUGUACAGAAGACUCAGUUUUGUUAAUCGACGAAGCAGAUGUAUUUUUUACAGAAGCUUUUUAUGGAAAAAGUUAUAUGCCUGCUGUUUGUCCAGUUAUUCCUGGAUUAGCCACGAUUCAAGAGUACAUUUGGAACUUGAUAAAUAAUAAUGUUUCUUUAGCUGAUGUCCAAAGACGUACUCAAGAAUUCAUUGAAACAGAUGCUUUUGAGUAUCGUGCAGAGUUCAACCAAUUUAGAAUUGACAAAAUGAAGGAACUUCUAGAAACGAUUGAUGGUAAUUUAACAAGAAAAACGUAUACAAAUAAAACACUGCUAAAUAAGCACUUACAAAGAAUGAUAACAUGUGCUUGGGAAGUCAAACAUUCAGCAUCAGUCUGGUCAAUGUUUAAGCUGAAUGACAAUAAAACAAUAUGUAUGAUGGAUGAAACGGGCGAGUUUAAGCAUAACUAUAAAUGGGAUUAUUAUUUAGUUUUUAACUACAUGAGAUUAAAGGAAACCAAUUUUGUUGCCGAAAUUGAAGACGUGCAAAAUUUUGGGUAUUUAAACAUAGAAUGCGGUGCAAUUUCAUACGCACUGUUGCCUUUGAACUAUCCUCUGAUAUUGGGAGUUUCUGGUACACUAACUGAUCUUAAUUUUCAUGAAAAAUUUGCAAUCGAAAAUCUCUAUAAAAUUAAACAAUCAUCUGUUAUGCCUUCAUUUUUCGGUUGUUCAAACUUGUGUUUCAACGAAGAAGAGGAUUUCCAUUGCUCAUACGCUGUAGAUGAAUGGCUGAACCAAGUUUACCGACAUACGUACACAAAAAUAGCAAAAAAUCGUGCCGUUAUCAUCUUCUUUGAAGAUGAUGAAAAGUUGGAAAAGUUUCGUAAAGAAUAUUCAGCGCAAUUUGAUCGCGUGAAUGUCUUAACCGUCAAUACUAAAGGGACCGAGCGUGAUCAGUUUAUUAACGAAGCAGGCGUUGCCAAGACGGUCACAUUGGCUACUCGUCGAAUGGGCCGUGGAGUGGACUUUAAGUCCAGCGUAACGGUGGAGAAAAAUGGCGGCGUACACGUCAUUCAAACGUUUCUCUCAUCGGAUGUAAAAGAGGAGAUUCAAAUUAAAGGCCGAACCGCCAGAAAAGAUAACAAGGGAAGUUACGAAUUGAUUGUAUGCGAAUGUGAUUUACCGGUGAUGGAGGCUGAAACACCACUGUUUUUAAACUACACUUAUAAAAUCCUCGACAAUGAUAGGAAAAAUAAGUCUUUAAAAACAAAUGAAAAAUUAUCUGCUGAAAUUAAACAGGCACAGAAAGAUCAUGAGCUAACAAUGGAAUAUAUGAAAUCUUUUAGCAAGGAAAAGUGAGUUUUUAACUGAAAAUUAAGUUGUUUUUAACUAUAAUUGAAUGCCUGAGCUUUAAACAAAAAAAAAAGUCACAAAUAUUUAUUUUAAAAAAUUAUAUUUAAAAAAAAUAUGAUGACCACAAAAUUGUAAAUAAAAUGUAAACGCAAAGAACCUUGCUCAUUACUCAUUUGUUAUCCGAAAAGUCUACAACAACCAUUUGACCCAGCCACUAUCUACAUGAUUAAUUAUUAUUAUGAAGUCGCAUUAAAUGAAUCGGGCCACAUGCGGGAAAUCGGGUAGUCAGAACUGACACAGAACAUCAAAAUGAAUGCAACGACUUCCAAAUUAUAAGCUUUUAGCAUUCGAUUCUUUUAUCGGCUUGGCAGUCGUUGAAGUUUAUAGAAUCCAACUUCAUUUGUUUCUAUCUGAAUAAAGUUGAUGGAUAGAUAACUUUCUGAAGGUAAAACAUGAUCUUUUUUUAAAUCGCCGUAUGGGACAUAAUGAGCACAAACACAGAUAAACAAAGUGCUGUCGAAGCAACAAACUGAAAUAUCUCGCGAGAAGUAACACUAUCCGAACUUUUUCCAUGUGUUGGUGAGCAUUCACUUUUUCAUUCGCGUCUUAUUUGCAUAUCAAUUUUGCUUGACAAGCAUUUUGAUGCUGCGGUUUCAAGCUAGCGUUCAUGCAUUUAGGUCUCAUUUCUUGUUUUACCAGUGACUAGCAAGGAUGUAUGGUGUGAUAAUUUUGAAUUGUUGAGAAUAACUUAUCGACAGUGCUUGUGGAAUUUUCCAAAAAAAUACUCAAAAUGACCACAGUUAAUUCUUUAAACAAUGGAACUGAUACACUCUGCCUCGGCAGUGAUUCAAAUCAAGAUGAAGAGACAAAUUCAACUUCAAAAUUAAACUCGUGGAUCAUACCAGUGAAAAAGUGUGAUAAAAACGGCGAAGCGCACAGUUCCAAGCCUGCCAUAAAAUGUGAUUCAUCAAUCGAACCUCGCCUGGCCCAGAUCGGAGCAUUAUACAACCCUAAUCGCACGCAGUACAUCAAGAAAAAGGCUUCAUCCGAAAAGAAAAUCGACCAGCUCAACUAUUCCGCGCGAUUUACCUUUGUCAAACUGGAAAUAAAGCUGCACAGUGAGGGCAGCAUCAUGACAACGGAAAAUAACUUUAUAGCUGCAGUGAAAUUUGAACACCCCGAGCAGCUUGACGAUUGUGGCAAUUUUGCGCAAGCGAAGGAAGUGCUGAUUGAGCAGUUACGAAUCACGUGCAUCUAUCGCGAUGGUUUGCGGGAGGCGCGGGACAGUCUACGGAAGAGGUUGAUUCCAGCCAUCGAAAGUGCCAUUGAAAAAUCUGCUUUCAAUGAUAAACAUGCCAACAAUUACAUACAACUGGUGCGGAUAGCGAGCAUGCUGAACAAUAGUGGCCGGAUGAGCUAUCGAAAUCUGUGCAGGGAAAUUAGUACCAACAACAUUGUGACCGAAGAGUUAAAGUCUUUUUCAAAGGAGCUAUUUCAACUAGAGGAGACAGUACUGAAAAGAGAUAAAUGGUUCGCAGCAUUUAAAAUUCAAGGAGAAGACCAAAAAUUAGGCUUGAAUGAUGAGUUGGAGAAACUACUGCAGCAGACAUAUGUUUUUUUCACGAAUACUUUGAUAGAUGGUUCUCCAGAGUCUUUACAAACUGUUUUACGGUCAAUGUGUAAAGAGCGCAUGAUGUUGGUUAGCAGUGAAGAUAUUAAACUUUUCAAAGACAUUGCUUCCUUUUUAAAUAAGGAAAUAUUUCAAAAACCAUUGCAUGAUUUUAUGACUUGUUGGAAUCAUUUGAUGGAAGGUAUAAAGAUUGAAGAAACCCGAGGGGUAGUGUGUUUUACGAAACCUAUAUUUUUCUUUCUUUGCAAAAGUUUGGAAGAAGUUAUAAUUAGUAUUGCUAAUAAGGCUGGUAUUGAGUUCAACAAACUUAUUACUAGUGACGAAAACGGAUGGUAUCCACUAAGAUCUAUAAAAUGGAAAGAUGAACAGCCGUUAAAUCGGUGUCUAGAAUUUGAGUAUUAUUUUAUCUUCAAAUUGAUCAAGCAUUUCAAACUAACGCAUGGUAACAUCAAUCCAUUCAAUUACAGUGUGUCGUUACUGAAUAGAUCAAAAACACCAACUUAUCGAGGCAUUCUGGAAAGUGCGAAAAAAAUGAUAACUUUCAGCAAGCCCAAAAAUCAUCUCGCAGUUUCAAACGAAAUUUUCAUCUGGUACUGCAUGCUGGACGACGUCCUAUCGAAUGUGCUGCCCUAUGCCGCGAUCAAACACGGUGGAGAGCUGGAUCUGUUUGGGGACAUUUUGCAGAACUACACCAAGUUAGUUCGCGAAGCAGGCCAUGCUCAGCUGGAGACGGUGCGCGUGAUCAGCCAUUCUCUAGGUCGCUUUAUCGUCCAAGCAAUCCAGCUGCUGAAGCAGGACUGCAACGCAACCGUUGAGAAACGCGUACUCCAUGGCCAACUGGAUGUCGUCGGUCGGGUUGGGUUUGAAUCGUCCAAUUACUUUCGGGAUUUGAUCGACGUUUUCAGUGGUUAUUGGAGGUGUAGGAAUGAGAUUAUUACUGAGCUGCCGGGAAAAUUGAUUUGCCCGAAAUGAAAAUAAUUUGUGACAAACUGUUGGAAAUCGUUUUGGUUGCCCUUGGAAAGGGUGUUGGUGCUGGUGAAAUAGUAAAUUUUUGCCGCACAUAUAACGACUUUAUCAUCGAUUUGGGUGAAGUUCGGUUCGAUUGGUUUGUUAAAGUUGCGAUCACUGAAACUGAAUGUCUUGAUACCUCUAUUUUGCAAGUGGUUGAAAACAAAUGGAGUGACUCUGACAACGCAACAUACCGCGUAAUCAAACUGAACGAUUUUCUUGAUGCUCAUGAUCCACCUCCAAAGCACUACACUAUUGACGUAAUUAACACAUUGCUAUCCAACAUUCUAAUUCAGUUGGGUAAAAAUGAAUGGAGUCCAAACAACAUUAUUUCUGCAAAGGAUCAAAUGUCAACAUCUAGUAGUCUGAUCUCUGCUAUCAGAAGCUCACUCAUUUAUCUCGCUGAACAGCCGGAUUAUGUUUCCUUUGAUCGGUUUUACGAAGAAAGAGUUAAUCCAUUUGUUAGCGUGGUGGGAAAUAGCUCCAGUAAUAGCGAUUUUACAACUCGAAUCAGUUUAAUAAAAGAAUCGUUUUGGUACAUUCGAAAACAAAAUGAGAUGAGUACUGAUCAUGCGUUGGAACUAUUCGAAAAACUUAAUGAAAAUGAUGAUAGUAAUCUAUUACGGAAAGCUUACAAUUUAUAUUGCGAACAUUUUGAUAAAACCAUGGAAGGUUCGAUGGGAAAAGAGCAUGUAGAUAGAGUUCUUUUUGUGGCAAAACAAGUGAAAGAAUCCGUAAAGCAAAUUCAUUUUAAGUUUUGGAAUUCACAGUUUAAGCAACUUUCUCUACCAAUUAUUUUGGCAAAAGUAGCUGCCGUUUGGACUAUCCAAGUAUCUGAAGAUGUUUCCAGUACAGUGGGAUACUUUAAACCGCACUGUAUUCAAGUACUCUGUGUAUUGAGAAUGUUAAGCGCUGAUACGGUUGAAGAGGGGGUGGGAAAACAUUUUGCGCAAAUUUUAACUGGACAAGGCAAAUCACUCGUUCUUGCACUAACAGCUGCGAUUCUGGCGCUAACUGGACAUUUAAUUGAUAUUGUUUGCUACAACUGUUAUUUAGUUAAGAGAGAUCUGUUGGAUUUUGUGACUUUUUUUAAGGUUUUAGAAAUCAAAGAUAAUAUUGAAUACAACACAUUUGAAAAAAUGGCAAAUAAAUUAAUUACUUUAAGAACAAAUGACAAUACUGGCAAACGUGUCGGUAUAAGAGAGUUAAUAGUGAAUCAACUGUUAAAUAAAGUUCAACCAUCCCUCGCAGUAGCUGAUGCCACCAGAGACAAAUCAAUUUUGUUGAUAGAUGAAGCAGAUGUGUUUUUUACAAAAGAUUUUUACGGUAAAUGCUAUUUUCCCGCUGUUCGACCAACGGUCCCAGAAUUAUACUUGAUACAGGAACAAGUUUGGAAAAUAGUUAAUGAAUGUAUGUAUGAACAUGAAUUGGAACACUGCAAAGAAAGAAUGCUUGCUUCAGACGCAUUCAAGAAUCUCAAAGAAUUUCACACAUUUAUCAGAGAAUCUCCAUACGAACUAUUAAAAGAAUGUAAUGAUGGUUUCCAACGGACGUUGUAUUCAAAUAAAAUUCUUUUUGAUGAACAUUUACAGCAAAUGGUAAAAUGUGCAUGGGAAACUAAACAAUAUCAAGACUUAAAUAAAUCCAAAUUCAGACUAAGUGAAAAAGAAACCAUUCAUAUCAUGAAUGGUACUGGGAAGUAUUCAAACAGAACAAGUUAUGGUUAUUAUAAUAUCUUCUAUUACUUUCAACUAAAGCGAACUGAUUUUGUCCCUAAAAUAGAUGACGAAGACAAUUAUGGCUAUUUUUCAAUCAGCUGUGGAGCCAUUUCUUAUGCUCUUUUGCCUCUAAACUAUCCUUUGAUAUUAGGAGUGACAGGCACAUUAAACGAUCUUAAUACUCACGAAAGAGAUGCCAUUGAAAAUCUGUACAAAAUAAAACAGCAAUCUUUUAUGCCGUCUUAUUUUGGUUGCUCAAACUUGCGUUUUGAUGAAGAAGAGGAUUUUCAUUAUAAUAUCGCUGUAGAGUCAUGGAUGAACGAAAUCUACCGACAUAC